RNAcentral lists this ribosomal RNA (497 nucleotides) under uncultured bacterium. RNAcentral describes it as "partial 16S ribosomal RNA". It matches the Rfam family "Bacterial small subunit ribosomal RNA", at positions 28 to 507 of the family's 1533-position model. The record is from RNAcentral.
GAUGAACGCUGGCGGCGUGCCUAAUACAUGCAAGUCGAGCGAACGGACGAGAAGCUUGCUUCUCUGAUGUUAGCGGCGGACGGGUGAGUAACACGUGGAUAACCUACCUAUAAGACUGGGAUAACUUCGGGAAACCGGAGCUAAUACCGGAUAAUAUUUUGAACCGCAUGGUUCAAAAGUGAAAGACGGUCUUGCUGUCACUUAUAGAUGGAUCCGCGCUGCAUUAGCUAGUUGGUAAGGUAACGGCUUACCAAGGCAACGAUGCAUAGCCGACCUGAGAGGGGGAUCGGCCACACUAGAACGUAGACACGGUCCAGACUCCUACGGGAGGCAGCAGUAGGGAAUCUUCCGCAAUGGGCGAAAGCCUGACGGAGCAACGCCGCGUGAGUGAUGAAGGUCUUCGGAUCGUAAAACUCUGUUAUUAGGGAAGAACAUAUGUGUAAGUAACUGUACACAUCUUGACGGUACCUAAUCAGAAAGCCACGGCUAACUACGUG